This 76-nucleotide transfer RNA is filed under the name Pseudomonadota bacterium. RNAcentral's name for it is "tRNA-Gln". It matches the Rfam family "tRNA". From Rfam's summary of the family: Transfer RNA (tRNA) molecules are approximately 80 nucleotides in length. Their secondary structure includes four short double-helical elements and three loops (D, anti-codon, and T loops). Further hydrogen bonds mediate the characteristic L-shaped molecular structure. tRNAs have two regions of fundamental functional importance: the anti-codon, which is responsible for specific mRNA codon recognition, and the 3' end, to which the tRNAs corresponding amino acid is attached (by aminoacyl-tRNA synthetases). tRNAs cope with the degeneracy of the genetic code in two manners: having more than one tRNA (with a specific anti-codon) for a particular amino acid; and 'wobble' base-pairing, i.e. permitting non-standard base-pairing at the 3rd anti-codon position. Lineage: Bacteria; Pseudomonadati; Pseudomonadota. The record is from RNAcentral.
UGGGGCGUCGACAAGCUGGUAAGUCACCGGAUUUUGAUUCCGGCUACCGUUGGUUCGAAUCCAACCGCCCCAACCA